Acanthosepion pharaonis is the source of this 112-nucleotide non-coding RNA. Lineage: Eukaryota; Metazoa; Mollusca; Cephalopoda; Sepiida; Sepiidae. The record is from the annotation of a GenBank genome assembly.
UUACGACCAUAUCACAUUGAAACACAGGUUUCCAUAUAGUCUCCAAAGUUAAGCAGCAUCAAGCUCAGUCAGUAGCUAGAUGGGUGACUGCUUGGGAAUACCAGGUGCUAUA